This 320-nucleotide ribosomal RNA is filed under the name uncultured eukaryote. Its description in RNAcentral is "partial 18S ribosomal RNA". It matches the Rfam family "Eukaryotic small subunit ribosomal RNA", at positions 1470 to 1796 of the family's 1831-position model. The record is from RNAcentral.
CCCCUAGAUGUUCUGGGCCGCACGCGCGCUACACUGAACAGUUCAACAAGUCUUAACCUUGGCCGAUAGGUCUGGGUAAUCUUUGAACGCUGUUCGUGAUUGGGAUAGACCUUUGCAAUUAUGGGUCUUCAACGAGGAAUUCCUAGUAAACGCAAGUCAUCAGCUUGCAUUGAUUACGUCCCUGCCCUUUGUACACACCGCCCGUCGCACCUACCGAUUGAAUGGUCCGGUGAAAUCUCGGGACGGCGGCUUGGUCGCUUGCGUCCGACUGCUGAAACUUGAUUAAACCAUNUNAUUUAGNGGAAGGUGAGNUCGUANCA